RNAcentral lists this long non-coding RNA (1296 nucleotides) under Anas platyrhynchos platyrhynchos (common mallard). RNAcentral's name for it is "lncRNA (ENSAPLG00000006161.2)". Lineage: Eukaryota; Metazoa; Chordata; Aves; Anseriformes; Anatidae. The record is from RNAcentral.
UUCCAGACUUUGCAUUUCACAUGGGGACCUUCGAGAACUGUAUCCCCACAUAGAAUGACAGCUUCCUGCAGAAUCACCAGGGAUGUGUUCCUCAAAAUCUCAUCAACACAGCGCAGGCCUGAAGAGAAACAAUAAUUCACGAACAACCUCUUGAUGAUGAGCAUCAAAAUGAAAUGGAGAUCAUCUCAGCAGCUUGAAGUUGCAUUGACAUGUGAAAGCACUAACAGUGGUAUGUCCUGUCAUAAGGACGUGAACUUUCAAGUCAGUGAAGCAUCUACUAAUGCAAAAUUUAUUUACUCCACUGUGACCAUAAGUGGAUCUGGGCAGCCUAUGUAGAUUACUUCUGUCCGCAUUUUAUUUCUCCCCUUUUAUCCUUCUGACGGUACCGCUGACAAUCUUUGUGUGAGGUGCAAUAAGUCAUUCCCAGAUGACCAGUACUCCCAACAUCAGAAUAAAAGCAGUACAGCUCAUAAGCUGACAGAAGUUCUUGCUGUCCAGUCAACUUCAAAACCCAGCAGUGAUCCACCACAGCCUUCUACCUCCCUGGCUCCCUCUUCCAGUUCUGAAAAGGCAACAGCAUGGAAAGAUCUCUGUCCCAAAGGGAAAGGAAGGUACCAUCCAUUGACCUCCAAAACCUCGCCCAAACCUUCAAAGAACAAAAAGAUGGUUGGCUUUCCUUCUCCCACAAGAGGCAGACUUUCCACAUCACCUCAAGCUCUUAAAGACACCUGGUCUUACGACUUGCUGGUGACCUGUGCCCACUGCAACGUUAUUCUGCCACUUCCAACUCUUCAGAAACAUGAGAAGACUCUUUCUAGAGUGCUCAUGAUUAAAUUUGGAAAUAGAGAAGCAUCUUCAGACUGAAACUACAGCUCAACUUUAGCAAAAGGUAUUGCAGGUGCAAUAGGUUUAUCAAUGAAGAAUAAGUGUCUCGCUACUCCAGAUCAAGAAAAAAGAGUGACUCAGAUUUUUAUUCCUUUUUAAGAAAGGCAUGUCACAGGUUUCACCACUGAAACCAGUGCUUUGCACUGCUUUGCACUGGUUACACCUUCAUAUAGUUUACUAUUCUUAAUAUUCUUGGAUAUGUAUCACAGCAAUGGAUCCAUCUGUAUAAAAGCAUAAGCUCUCUCUCAUUUUUUUGCUUUGGUGUUUCUACAGAUUCCAGCAGUGCUGGACUUACCAGGCCUCCAAGGAACUCCUUUAUUGGUCUUUGAAGUCUGUUUGAGGAUGGCUGGUAAACAUAAUACAGUCUGAAGAGAAUCCAUGAAUAAAACAAAUUUGAAGAGGAACUGGGCA